UGGGGAAUCUUGGACAAUGGGCGCAAGCCUGAUCCAGCCAUGCCGCGUGGGUGAAGAAGGCCUUAGGGUUGUAAAGCCCUUUCGGUGGUGAAGAUAAUGACGGUACCCGUGGAGGAAGCACCGGCUAACUCUGUGCCAGCAGCCGCGGUAAUACAGAGGGUGCAAACGUUGCUCGGAAUGACUGGGCGUAAAGCGCGCGCAGGUGGCCCGUUAAGUCGGCUGUGAAAUCCCCUGGCUCAACCAGGGAAGUGCAGUCGAUACUGGCGGGCUCGAGUCCCGGAGAGGGUGGUAGAAUUCCCAGUGUAGAGGUGAAAUUCGUAGAUAUUGGGAGGAAUACCGGUGGCGAAGGCGACCGCCUGGACGGGUACUGACACUGAGGCGCGAAAGCGUGGGGAGCAAACAGGAUUAGAUACCCGCGUAGUCC
This 424-nucleotide ribosomal RNA is filed under the name uncultured prokaryote. RNAcentral describes it as "bacterial SSU rRNA". It matches the Rfam family "Bacterial small subunit ribosomal RNA", at positions 355 to 796 of the family's 1533-position model. The record is from RNAcentral.